RNAcentral lists this ribosomal RNA (220 nucleotides) under Subeucalanus subcrassus. RNAcentral describes it as "partial 16S ribosomal RNA". The record is from RNAcentral. Lineage: Eukaryota; Metazoa; Arthropoda; Copepoda; Calanoida; Eucalanidae.
AAUUAGCCUCUUAAUUGGGGGAUAGUAUGAAUGGUAAUAUUGACCAGAUCCUAAUUUUUAUAUUGUGAAUUUUGAGUAAAGGUGAAAAUUCCUUUAUAAUAAUUUUAGACAAAAAGACCCUAUGAAGCUUACAAUGAAUAUAUAACAAAUUAAUUAAGAAUUGUUUCUUUGGGGAAAAGGUUAACGAUUGUAUUUUUAGAGUGUAAGAUCCUGAUAAGAA